GGCUCGGUAGCUUAGUUGGUAAAGCGCUCGUGUUGCAUACAAGAGUCCUGGGUUUUUUAAAUCCCAGCCAAGCAA
RNAcentral lists this transfer RNA (75 nucleotides) under Aedes aegypti (yellow fever mosquito). It matches the Rfam family "tRNA". From Rfam's summary of the family: Transfer RNA (tRNA) molecules are approximately 80 nucleotides in length. Their secondary structure includes four short double-helical elements and three loops (D, anti-codon, and T loops). Lineage: Eukaryota; Metazoa; Arthropoda; Insecta; Diptera; Culicidae. The record is from Rfam by way of RNAcentral.